UAUACGUUUUGACUUUUCGUCUUAUUUGAAUUUUUUUUGCAAUAAAUAUUUUUAUUUUUACUGGAUGAUAAAACAUGAAUAAUAUUUUAUGCGUGACUAUCUUUUAAAGUUUUUUUUACAAAAUUUUCAAAUAAGAUGAAUCGUCAAACAUUAGACAUGAAAAAACA
This 167-nucleotide microRNA precursor is filed under the name Oryza brachyantha (malo sina). RNAcentral describes it as "MIR812 microRNA precursor family". It matches the Rfam family "MIR812 microRNA precursor family", at positions 27 to 191 of the family's 205-position model. Lineage: Eukaryota; Viridiplantae; Streptophyta; Magnoliopsida; Poales; Poaceae. The record is from Rfam by way of RNAcentral.